RNAcentral lists this ribosomal RNA (592 nucleotides) under uncultured bacterium. RNAcentral's name for it is "bacterial SSU rRNA". It matches the Rfam family "Bacterial small subunit ribosomal RNA", at positions 338 to 945 of the family's 1533-position model. The record is from RNAcentral.
CCUACGGGAGGCAGCAGUGGGGAAUCUUGCGCAAUGGGCGAAAGCCUGACGCAGCAACGCCGCGUGCGGGAUGAAUGCCUUCGGGUUGUAAACCGCUUUCAGCAGGGACGAAAAUGACGGUACCUGCAGAAGAAGCCCCGGCUAACUACGUGCCAGCAGCCGCGGUAAUACGUAGGGGGCAAGCGUUGUCCGGAUUUAUUGGGCGUAAAGAGCUCGUAGGCGGUUCCGUAAGUCGAGUGUGAAAAAUCUGGGCUCAACCCAGUGGAGCACUCGAUACUGCGGUGACUAGAGUACGGUAGAGGAGUGUGGAAUUCCUGGUGUAGCGGUGAAAUGCGCAGAUAUCAGGAGGAACACCAACGGCGAAGGCAGCACUCUGGGCCGGUACUGACGCUGAGGAGCGAAAGCGUGGGGAGCAAACAGGAUUAGAUACCCUGGUAGUCCACGCCGUAAACGUUGGGCACUAGGUGUGGGAGGGAAUCAACCCCUUCCGUGCCGUAGCUAACGCAUUAAGUGCCCCGCCUGGGGAGUACGGCCGCAAGGCUAAAACGCAAAGGAAUUGACGGCNGAGAGNGCGAGACGACGACGAGGAGAG